This 336-nucleotide unclassified non-coding RNA is filed under the name soil metagenome. RNAcentral describes it as "partial contains 5.8S ribosomal RNA, internal transcribed spacer 2, and large subunit ribosomal RNA". The stretch from base 1 to 120 matches the Rfam family "5.8S ribosomal RNA", at positions 35 to 154 of the family's 154-position model. The record is from RNAcentral.
GAUGAAGAACGUAGUGAAAUGCGAUAAGUAAUGUGAAUUGCAGAAUUCAGUGAAUCAUCGAAUCCUUGAACGCACAUUGCGCCCGCCAGUAUUCUGGCGGGCAUGCCUGUUCGAGCGUCAUUUCAACCAUCAAGCCCCCGGCUUGUGUUGGGGACCUGCGGCUGCCGCAGGCCCUGAAAACCAGUGGCGGGCUCGCUGUCACACCGAGCGUAGUAGAUUUUCAUCUCGCUCAGGGCGUGCUGCGGGUUCCGGCCGUAAAAAGCCUUAUUUACCCAAGGUUGACCUCGGAUCAGGUAGGAAGACCCGCUGAACUUAAGCAUAUCAAUAAGCGGAGGA